AUUGAACGCUGGCGGCAUGCCUUACACAUGCAAGUCGAACGGUAACAGGUCUUCGGAUGCUGACGAGUGGCGAACGGGUGAGUAAUACAUCGGAACGUGCCUAGUAGUGGGGGAUAACUACUCGAAAGAGUGGCUAAUACCGCAUGAGAUCUACGGAUGAAAGCAGGGGAUCGCAAGACCUUGUGCUAUUAGAGCGGCCGAUGGCAGAUUAGGUAGUUGGUGGGAUAAAAGCUUACCAAGCCGACGAUCUGUAGCUGGUCUGAGAGGACGAUCAGCCACACUGGGACUGAGACACGGCCCAGACUCCUACGGGAGGCAGCAGUGGGGAAUUUUGGACAAUGGGCGCAAGCCUGAUCCAGCAAUGCCGCGUGCAGGAUGAAGGCCUUCGGGUUGUAAACUGCUUUUGUACGGAACGAAAAGCCCUGGGUUAAUACCCUGGGGUCAUGACGGUACCGUAAGAAUAAGCACCGGCUAACUACGUGCCAGCCGCCGCUGUAA
Molecule: ribosomal RNA, 498 nt
Filed under: uncultured bacterium
Lineage: Bacteria
Description: partial 16S ribosomal RNA
Rfam family: Bacterial small subunit ribosomal RNA
Source: RNAcentral